AAGUUAAAAUAAAAAGAGUACAUGGCUUCCCGAAAUAACCUUAAUGGGCUAAUAGGACUGGGCAGCCAUCCUUACUGAUUUAAAGUGAUCAUUUAUUUGGGUCAAAUAAGAAGAGAAAAUAAGAAAAAGACAUGCAGGAGCGCACACACACAACACACACACACACAAAAGGACUAAUUACACAUACAGCUGCAGAUUGAGAGAAAAAUAGUUGAAUAACACAAUGUACUAGUUAUAUACAGAGUUACAGAAAAGAAUCGUUUUGUCUUUUUAACGAAGUCUUCCUUUAUAGCUUGUAAAAUCUGCUUCUAUGUAGAGGAAAUACACUCAGUAGGCUCUACCCUCACAAUUAUUUUCCUUUUCUGCAAGGUGGGUAAGAAUUAAAACACGAGUGCUUUGAGACACAAGAAGAGCACGAGUUUGUCAGUCGCAUGAGAUUAGUAAGUUUCGAUCUGUCGGUAAAAUUAGGUCGUUCUGUUCAGUUCGUCAGUUAUGUUAUACCAUUUGAUAUCUUAUUUGUCAACCAGGCGAGGAAGACCAUGAGCACAGCAGUAAGACCAGCACUUACAAACACGGUAGCCAAGAUGGCACUGUGAUUGGCGAGGAGGACCAUGAUCACAGCGAUAAGACAAGCACUCAUAAACACCGCAACCAAGACGGGACUGUGAUUGGCGAGGAAGACCAUGAGCGCAGCAGUAAGACUAGCUCUUACAAAGACUACAACCAAGAUGACGCGGAGGUUCGAGCAGUUGGCCCCCAGAUGGUUUUUAAUAAUCCUAACCAGCCAUGCUACACUCAAUUCUUUGCAGGUGGACAACAACCAACAGGUCUCCGAACUGGCCAAAACUUACAGAAUAUAAGGUACAUCUGCCAAAUGGUGAAUCAGCAGACUUACUAUGGGACCAUGUUUGACCAAGCUCUCGGUAUUGCUGUGUUUUCGGCCUAUACGUUAACUCAAGCAAACGCGAAUUUUCCGAAUCGACCACGACCUACACGAUGGACACAAACGCCAGGUAGCCACAGCUUAGCGAUUUAUAAAAUAAGACAGUGACGAUCACAAUUAGGUAAUUCACUGAAGGUUAAUCCACGGACAAACAAUGGGAGAUAGCUGUCGGCUAUCCCAAGGGGCACUUCCCAAUUUUUUUGACGGGGCUGUGCGGCCGGAAACUUGAAACCUGUACUCUAUUUCAGACUAAAAUCUGUGAUUUUCCAUACUCAGUCUCAGACCUGAGCGAAACAUCAAUACCUCAUUUCAGACCUCUAUAAAAAUUGCACGAGUUUAAUUAAUAUAUGACCGCAGCUGACAUGAAAUGGCUUCUAUAAACAUUUGAAAAGGGCUACAAAUUUGCCAAUGUUGAUGCGGAAAAAAGAAAGUUGGGAU
RNAcentral lists this unclassified non-coding RNA (1381 nucleotides) under Orbicella faveolata. Its description in RNAcentral is "uncharacterized LOC110059024, transcript variant X4". The record is from RNAcentral. Lineage: Eukaryota; Metazoa; Cnidaria; Anthozoa; Scleractinia; Merulinidae.